UCUUCGAGAGUUUGAGACGUCAUCACGUCAAGCAGUCCUCUGACUCCUCUCAUCUCUUCGCGACUUCGCGUCCACUGGUCCUCCCAUAUUUUGCACAGAUCGGAAAUAUCAGAGUAUCAGGUGAUUCAGGUCCGCCUUUUCUUCUCCAAUCUCCACCUCUCCCUUCCAUUGCUCGAUCUAAUGCCCAACUGCCCAACAGCCCAAGAUUUGCAGAGAUUCUUGGCUUCUUGCAGAGUUGCAUACUGGAGUGACCGAAGAGUUGGCUGAUUGGCUGGGUUUCUGGAAGAGUUCUGGACUUCUGGCCCUCCAUCACUCCAUGGCUCCAUGAAUUGCUGAAGUGCUGAACUGUACAAAGAAGGGGAGGCUGGGGAGCUAUUUGAUAUUUUGAU
Molecule: long non-coding RNA, 389 nt
Organism: Rosa rugosa (rugosa rose)
Lineage: Eukaryota; Viridiplantae; Streptophyta; Magnoliopsida; Rosales; Rosaceae
Exons: 3
Source: RefSeq, a predicted model, not a curated record